RNAcentral lists this ribosomal RNA (426 nucleotides) under uncultured prokaryote. Its description in RNAcentral is "bacterial SSU rRNA". It matches the Rfam family "Bacterial small subunit ribosomal RNA", at positions 355 to 796 of the family's 1533-position model. The record is from RNAcentral.
UGGGGAAUUUUCCGCAAUGGGCGAAAGCCUGAUGGAGCAAUACCGCGUGAGGGAGGAAGGCUUUUGGGUUGUAAACCUCUUUUCUCAAGGAAGAAGAUCUGACGGUACUUGAGGAAUCAGCAUCGCCUAACUCCGUGCCAGCAGCCGCGGUAAUACGGAGGUUGCGAGCGUUAUCCGGAAUGAUUGGGCGUAAAGCGUGUGCAGGUGGCUAUGCAAGUCUGCUGUUAAAGAGUGGAGCUCAACUCCAUAAGGGCAGUGGAAACUGCGUAACUAGAGUACGUUCGGGGUAGAGGGAAUUCCUGGUGUAGCGGUGAAAUGCGUAGAUAUCAGGAAGAACACCGGUGGCGAAAGCGCUCUACUAGGCCGUAACUGACACUGAGAGACGAAAGCUAAGGGGGCGAAAGGGAUUAGAUACCCGUGUAGUCC